Molecule: ribosomal RNA, 199 nt
Filed under: uncultured bacterium
Lineage: Bacteria
Description: partial 16S ribosomal RNA
Source: RNAcentral
CCGGACUAUUCUCAUGUACUGUCAUUAUCAUCCCUGGUAAAAGAGCUUUACAACCCUAAGGCCUUCAUCACUCACGCGGCAUUGCUGGAUCAGGCUUUCGCCCAUUGUCCAAUAUUCCCCACUGCUGCCUCCCGUAGGAGUCCCCCCGUGCCCCCGCCCCGCCCGCCGCGCGCGGCGGGCGGGGCGGGGGCACGGGGGG